RNAcentral lists this ribosomal RNA (361 nucleotides) under Salmonella enterica. RNAcentral's name for it is "bacterial SSU rRNA". It matches the Rfam family "Bacterial small subunit ribosomal RNA", at positions 1 to 358 of the family's 1533-position model. Lineage: Bacteria; Pseudomonadati; Pseudomonadota; Gammaproteobacteria; Enterobacterales; Enterobacteriaceae. The record is from RNAcentral. RNAcentral also lists the same sequence under 3 other names.
AAAUUGAAGAGUUUGAUCAUGGCUCAGAUUGAACGCUGGCGGCAGGCCUAACACAUGCAAGUCGAACGGUAACAGGAAGCAGCUUGCUGCUUCGCUGACGAGUGGCGGACGGGUGAGUAAUGUCUGGGAAACUGCCUGAUGGAGGGGGAUAACUACUGGAAACGGUGGCUAAUACCGCAUAACGUCGCAAGACCAAAGAGGGGGACCUUCGGGCCUCUUGCCAUCAGAUGUGCCCAGAUGGGAUUAGCUAGUUGGUGAGGUAACGGCUCACCAAGGCGACGAUCCCUAGCUGGUCUGAGAGGAUGACCAGCCACACUGGAACUGAGACACGGUCCAGACUCCUACGGGAGGCAGCAGUGGG